GUAGGGAAUAUUGCGCAAUGGACGAAAGUCUGACGCAGCGACGCCGCGUGAGUGAUGAAGGCCUUAGGGUCGUAAAGCUCUGUUGAAUGGGAAGAAAAAAAUGACGGUACCAUUCGAGGAAGGACCGGCUAACUUCGUGCCAGCAGCCGCGGUAAUACGAGGGGUCCUAGCGUUGUUCGGAAUCAUUGGGCGUAAGGGUGUGUAGGUGGCCAUGUAAGUCAGGUGUGAAAGCCCCGGGCUCAACCCGGGAAGUGCACUUGAUACUGCGUGGCUUGAGUACCGAAGAGGGUAGUGGAAUUCCAGGUGUAGUGGUGAAAUACGUAGAUAUCUGGAGGAACACCGGUGGCGAAGGCGGCUACCUGGUCGAGUACUGACACUGAGACACGAAAGCAUGGGGAUCAAACAGGAUUAGAAACCCCGGUAGUCC
This 427-nucleotide ribosomal RNA is filed under the name uncultured bacterium. RNAcentral describes it as "partial 16S ribosomal RNA". It matches the Rfam family "Bacterial small subunit ribosomal RNA", at positions 354 to 796 of the family's 1533-position model. The record is from RNAcentral.